RNAcentral lists this ribosomal RNA (402 nucleotides) under uncultured bacterium. Its description in RNAcentral is "bacterial SSU rRNA". It matches the Rfam family "Bacterial small subunit ribosomal RNA", at positions 30 to 432 of the family's 1533-position model. The record is from RNAcentral.
AUUGAACGCUGGCGGCAUGCCUAACACAUGCAAGUCGAACGGUAACAGGGGCUUCGGCCCGCUGACGAGUGGCGGACGGGUGAGUAACGCGUAGGAAUCUUCCCAGUAGCGGGGGAUAGCUCGGCGAAAGCCGGAUUAAUACCGCAUACGCCCCACGGGGGAAAGCAGGGGAUCGUGAGACCUUGCACUAUUGGAUGAGCCUACGUCUGAUUAGCUAGUUGGUAGGGUAAAAGCCUACCAAGGCGACGAUCAGUAGCUGGUCUGAGAGGACGAUCAGCCACACUGGGACUGAGACACGGCCCAGACUCCUACGGGAGGCAGCAGUGGGGAAUAUUGGACAAUGGGCGCAAGCCUGAUCCAGCAAUGCCGCGUGUGUGAAGAAGGCCUGCGGGUUGUAAAGCA